AUUGAACGCUGGCGGCAUGCUUUACACAUGCAAGUCGAACGGCAGCGCGGGCUUCGGCCUGGCGGCGAGUGGCGAACGGGUGAGUAAUAUAUCGGAACGUACCCAAGAGUGGGGAUAACGUAGCGAAAGUUACGCUAAUACCGCAUACGAUCUAAGGAUGAAAGCAGGGGAUCGCAAGACCUUGUGCUCCUGGAGCGGCCGAUAUCUGAUUAGCUAGUUGGUGAGGUAAAGGCUCACCAAGGCAACGAUCAGUAGCUGGCCUGAGAGGACGACCAGCCACACUGGAACUGAGACACGGUCCAGACUCCUACGGGAGGCAGCAGUGGGGAAUUUUGGACAAUGGGGGCAACCCUGAUCCAGCAAUGCCGCGUGAGUGAAGAAGGCCUCGG
RNAcentral lists this ribosomal RNA (389 nucleotides) under uncultured bacterium. Its description in RNAcentral is "bacterial SSU rRNA". It matches the Rfam family "Bacterial small subunit ribosomal RNA", at positions 30 to 420 of the family's 1533-position model. The record is from RNAcentral.